Non-coding RNA from Pocillopora verrucosa, 642 nucleotides. NCBI's taxonomy places the organism in Eukaryota, Metazoa, Cnidaria, Anthozoa, Scleractinia, Pocilloporidae. The record is from RefSeq and is a predicted model, not a curated record.
AUUUAGGCGGUAAAGGUGGCUUUAAUUUCUAGUUUGCAUUAUACCGUGAGCCAAGCCCAGCCGAAGCUUCAAGAAAAUUCCUCGUUCUUUUGUGGCCCGUCAUGCUGUACUAGGGUUCGUUAUUCCGUGGCAUACAGAUGACUAAGCCUCUACGACGAGCCCGUUGCAAGUGGCCUUCAGGGGGUACAACAUCUGAUCACCAGAAUUGCGCGCGAUUGAAAUUGACCCUACAGAUCCACCCAAGGUCACAGAUGUCACAGCAACUGAAAGAAGGAUUUCGUCAGCUAAACGAUCUCAAUGCAGCACCAGACCUAGCCUUACAAGAUUUAGACGAGGAAUGCGCAGGUUAACAGGGAACAUGGGAGUUAAAAAAUGUACAAGACUGAACUGGUGGGCCUUUCUGCACAGGAUUUUCGGAAAAAUCCAUCCAAUUCGAGUUUUUGCUCUCCCGUUUUUGAAGUAAGUCUUGAAUUCCAGUCCGAGACUCCUGACUCACGGAAAGGAAAUCAUGCUGGUUGAAUGCAGUCCGACGGUUGUCGGAAAAGAGGGCUCAGACUAUUGUUUUCUUCUCAUUGUCUAACUCCUCGAAUAAAAAAAGAUUAACGAUUUAUUAUAAAUAAAAUUUAUAGUUCAGUUAAUUGA